AUGGGAGUUUGGUAUGGACUCAAAUGUCUGGGGACAAGACUGCCCCCACUGGGGACUCCUUUACUACAAAGAAACCUCUUCUCCCCCUCCACAGCCCCACAUGCAGGUCCGGUAGGAGUCUCCAAAUCCCAUCUGUCUCCCUGCGCUGCAGUUGCCUUGCUUUACCUGCAGAGUUUGGCAUCCGGUAGCAAUGUCUCGAACCCCUGGAGUGUCAGGUCUCCUAGAGAGUGGAGCUAGCUCCCAUCCUUCCAAGUGCAGCAAUGACAUUAAGGACAUUUGUUCACAUGGAUCACAGUUGGUGUUGGAAAGUUGUCCUACCUGGACAUUGCUGUCAGAGCCAUGGACUAAAAUACUCAGUUCUGGCCUAAAUAAAGCAAGCUCUCAGUGUCAAAGACUUUUUUUUUGAGAUAGAGUCUUGCUCUGUUGCCCAGGCUGGAAUGUAAUGGUGUGAUCUCAGCUUACUGCAACCUCCGCCUCCCAGAUUCAAGCAAUUCUCCCGCCUCAGCCUCCUGAGUAGCUGGGAUUAUAGGUGCACGCCACCACACCUGCUAAUUUUUGUAUUAUUAGCAGAGGCGGGGUUUCACCAUGUUGGCCAGACUGGUCUCCAACUCUUGGCUUCAAGUGUUACGCCCGCCUCAGCCUCCCAAAGUGCUGGGAUUACAGGUGUGAGCCACAGUGCCUGGCCUUUUUGAGGACUGUUAUACGUAAAAGAAAAUUCAGACCAUGGGCAUAACAUUCCUUUAGCUGUUUUGCAUAGACAUGUUUUUUUGCUUUAAUAUGGGUCCACUGGGAAAAGGUUUGUGGAAAUCUGAGCAGCUGAUGUUUGUGCACUCAGAUUCUUUGGGAUCUAUCUGUGAGACUUGAUGAAGCAAUAUGGCUUCCACCAUUUCCCUAGGGAAAAGGUUACUCAAGGUUACUGAACUCAUGAAGCCAUGUGGAUUUCCAGCAUGUGUUAUUAUAAUCUCACUAUCCUUCUGAUUUUAAAAUGCUGUAAGUCUGCAACUUUUUUCUGUGGUCAUCACUUCCCCAAGGUAUCCACCUUCCAGUUUGUCCUAUGGAGCCAUGCUCUUGGCAGAGUUUGGCAUUAUUUUUUAUUGGGGGUUUUAUUUUUGUAAAAUUGUGUUAAAUCACUAGUAAGGAAGACUUUGUUUAAUUUGUAUUUUUGGAGGGGAAGAAAUAUUUUUUGGUAUAACCAUCAUAAAUCUUACCAGCUCGUAAGUGGAGCUUCAUUUCCAGAUACUGUAUGUUAAAGCCACCAAUAUUUCAAGAGAUUCUAGAGACUAUGAUGUUUGUUGAAUGACUGAGUUUUCCAGCAUCAUUUCUAGCCUUCAUCAUAUGUUAUCAUAACAAUAAUUAUAUCAGUUAUAAAGAGUCUAAACCCAUAGUUGGAUAAAUGAAAUCAAAUACCCUUCAUUUUUUGUAAGGUUUUCCAGCCUGAGCAAUGUCUCACAGGUAAAAAAACAACACAAAAUUAAGGCAAUUACUUUAUUUUGAACAAGGAAGUGGCAUAAUAAUUUUGGGAGAAAUAGCUGUCUUCUAUCUGGUUAGUUAUCUACUGUUGCACCUUCUUUUUUUUUUAAUUUUUUGAGACAAAGUCAAGCUCUUGUCACCCAGGCUGGAGUGCAAUGGUGUAAUCCUGGCUCACUGCAACCUCUGCCUCCUGGGUUCAAGCAAUUCUCCUGCCUCAGCCUCCCAAGUAGCUGGGAUUACAGGCACCUGCCACCACACCCGGCUCAUUUUUGUAUUUUUAGUAGAGACAGGGCUUCACCAUGUUGGCCAGUCUGGUCUCGAACUCCUGACCUCAGGUGAUCUGCCUGCCUCGGCCUUCCAAAGUGCUGGGAUUACAGGCGUGAGCCACUGAGCCCAGUGCACCUUCUUGUAAAGUAAGCACCACAUCAUCUCUAGAAUGAGCAUCUAACUGCUCGUUGGGAGAUGAAACUUUCAUUCUGGUUUGAGAUGAAUGCAUGGACUCACAUGGGGCUACAGAACCACUAGUCUUGACUGAGUUAGAGAAAAUGAAGGUAACAUGUUUAUAUUUCUAAGUUGCUUCCAUUGUAAAAAUAAGUUUUAUAUCUCCUUUUGUUAGAAAAUAUUCUGGUCAAAUAAUCUUGCAAAGGGAAGAUAACCUAGCCUCAAGUCUAUCAUAUAAAAGCAAAGAGACAAUGAUUGAUUUUCUGCUCAGUUAUGAUGUUUAGGACUUUUACAGGGCACAUGUU
This 2216-nucleotide long non-coding RNA is filed under the name Macaca mulatta (Rhesus monkey). Its description in RNAcentral is "lncRNA (ENSMMUG00000061730.1)". Lineage: Eukaryota; Metazoa; Chordata; Mammalia; Primates; Cercopithecidae. The record is from RNAcentral.